RNAcentral lists this small RNA (52 nucleotides) under Erwinia persicina. RNAcentral describes it as "RtT sRNA". The record is from RNAcentral. Lineage: Bacteria; Pseudomonadati; Pseudomonadota; Gammaproteobacteria; Enterobacterales; Erwiniaceae.
AGGUUCGUGUCGAGCGCAGUGAGACAGCGUUGCUGAAGGCAACGACCCGGAG